CCCUACGGGGUGCAGCAGGCGAUGGUAUUGUAACUACUAAGAGUCAAGCGGCCAUUGGUGCAGGCACGCCCGUUGUUGCCAAUCAUAUAGUAGAAACUGAACAAACGACAAACAUCCUCAAACUUCUCGACGAUGCGCCGAAAGUUAAGCGAGUUCGGGUGUGCGAGGCGGCGAGGACGGCGGGGGCGGAUUUUUCGCGGGCGAGCACAUACAAUUGUUAUGUAAUUAUGCAGGUUGAGGAGUAUUUUUUUGGCGGAUCUGGAAAUCAAGAGCUGCCCACUGGAUGGCGUUGCGGUCAAUCUGAGCGAUUUUGUCGAGGAUAAAGGGAAAAAGACGCCGUAUAAACGCUUCGGGAAAGAUUUUCUGAAAUAUGACCGCGCACUUAUUGAUGGCGGGAGAGC
Molecule: ribosomal RNA, 401 nt
Filed under: uncultured prokaryote
Description: partial 16S ribosomal RNA
Source: RNAcentral